GACGAACGCUGGCGGCGUGCUUAAAACAUGCAAGUCGAACGAGGUCCAUCCGAUGGCAACAUUGGUGAAGACCGAGUGGCGAACGGGUGCGUAACACGUGAGGAACCUGCCCCGGACUCUGGAAUAACAGUGGGAAACCACUGCUAAUACCGGAUGUCUCCACCAUCUCGCAUGGGAAGGUGAAGAAAGAUUUAUCGGUUCGGGAGGGCCUCGCGGCCUAUCAGCUUGUUGGUGGGGUAACGGCUCACCAAGGCGUCGACGGGUAGCCGGCCUGAGGGGGCGACCGGCCACACUGGGACUGAGACACGGCCCAGACUCCUACGGGAGGCAGCAGUGGGGAAUAUUGGACAAUGGGCGCAAGCCUGAUCCAGCGAUGCCGCGUGUGUGAAGAAGGCCUUCGGGUUGUAAAGCUCUUUUGGCGGGGACGAUGAUGACGGUACCCGCAGAAUAAGCCCCGGCUAACUUCGUGCCAGCAGCCGCGGUAAGACGAAGGGGGCUAGCGUUGUUCGGAAUUACUGGGCGUAAAGGGUGCGUAGGCGGCUUCUUAAGUCUGGCGUGAAAGCCCAGGGCUCAGCCCUGGAAGUGCGCCAGAAACUGAGAGGCUCGAGUGCCGGAGGGGAGAGUGGAAUUCCCGGC
RNAcentral lists this ribosomal RNA (636 nucleotides) under uncultured Acidimicrobiales bacterium. RNAcentral describes it as "bacterial SSU rRNA". It matches the Rfam family "Bacterial small subunit ribosomal RNA", at positions 28 to 674 of the family's 1533-position model. Lineage: Bacteria; Bacillati; Actinomycetota; Acidimicrobiia; Acidimicrobiales. The record is from RNAcentral.